Molecule: transfer RNA, 87 nt
Filed under: Phytohabitans aurantiacus
Lineage: Bacteria; Bacillati; Actinomycetota; Actinomycetes; Micromonosporales; Micromonosporaceae
Description: Micromonospora sp. RD004123 tRNA-Ser
Source: RNAcentral
GGAAGGCAGCGCGGCGUGGGCCGCAGCCGGCCUCGAAAGCCGGAGCCCGGUGAAAGCCGGCGGGUUCGACUCCUGGGCCUUCCGCCA